CGGGGGAGGCCGGAUCCUGAGCUGUGUCCCGGCGCCCUGUGCUCUGGGACCUGCGCUGUUGGAUUCGCGCUCCCGCCCCGCAGCCCCCU
This 89-nucleotide microRNA precursor is filed under the name Canis lupus familiaris (dog). Its description in RNAcentral is "mir-8799 microRNA precursor family". It matches the Rfam family "mir-8799 microRNA precursor family". RNAcentral also lists the same sequence under 1 other name. The record is from Rfam by way of RNAcentral. Lineage: Eukaryota; Metazoa; Chordata; Mammalia; Carnivora; Canidae.